RNAcentral lists this non-coding RNA (939 nucleotides) under Cynoglossus joyneri (red tonguesole). RNAcentral's name for it is "12S ribosomal RNA". It matches the Rfam family "Bacterial small subunit ribosomal RNA". The record is from RNAcentral. Lineage: Eukaryota; Metazoa; Chordata; Actinopteri; Pleuronectiformes; Cynoglossidae.
CAAAGGCUUGGUCCUGACUUAUUCAUCUGCUGUAGUCAUAUUUACACAUGCAAGUAUCCGCCCCCUGUGAGAAUGCCCCCCUCUUCCAAAAGGAAAGGGGCGAGCUGGUAUCAGGCACACUUAAUUAGUAGCCAUAACACCUUGCUCAGCCACACCCCUAAGGGAACUCAGCAGUGAUAAAUAUUAAGCAAUAAAGUGCAAACUUGACUUAGUAAUGACUAAUAAGGCCGGUAAAUUCGUGCCAGCAACCGCGGUUAUACGAAAGGCCUAAGUUGAUGAAUAGCGGCGUAAAAGCGUGGUUAGGGAACCUCUACACUAAAGUUGAACCCCUUCCUAGUCGUUUAAAACUUAUGAAGGUGAGUAAUACACCUACGAAAGUGACUUUAUACCCCUGACCCCACGAAAGCUAGGAUACAAACUGGGAUUAGAUACCCCACUAUGCCUAGUUGUAAACAAUGAUAUUAUUAUACUUUAAUAUCCGCCUGGGGACUACGAACACUAGUUUAAACCCAAAGGACCUGGCGGUGCUUAAUACCCCCCUAGAGGAGCCUGUUCUAUAACCGAUACCCCCCGUUAAACCUCACCCCCUCUUGCAAUAUUCUGCCUAUAUACCGCCGUCGUCAGCUUACCCUGUCAAGGGAUAAAAGUAAGCAAAAUUGGCAUAGCCCAAAACGUCAGGUCGAGGUGUAGUAUAUGAGGUGGGAAAGAAAUGGGCUACAUUGACUAUUUAGUCUAUACGAAUAACACACUGAAAUGUCUGUUUGAAGGUGGAUUUAGUAGUAAGUAAAAACAGAGUGUUUUACUGAAUGCGGCUCUUAAGCGCGUACACAACCGCCCGUCACCCUCCCCAAAACCUGCUAUAUUAUACAUAAUCUAACAUCGUAUCAAAGGGGAGGGAAGUCGUAACAUGGUAAGUGUACCGGAAGGUGUACUUGGACU